GGGAAACCCAUUUUCCCCAGAGGAGCACCACCAGGUCAGUGGGUGCACAAUAACAUGUUACAAGAUCCCUGGAGCUCAGCAGGAGGUGCUGAAUUUUGUUGUGGAGCUACACCAGGUAUGUUUUAGCAUAUACAUAUUUUGCCAUGUUGUCUAGGUUGAUCUGUAAAUAAUAUGGG
RNAcentral lists this long non-coding RNA (176 nucleotides) under Corvus moneduloides (New Caledonian crow). RNAcentral's name for it is "lncRNA (ENSCMUG00000015357.2)". The record is from RNAcentral. Lineage: Eukaryota; Metazoa; Chordata; Aves; Passeriformes; Corvidae.